UGUAAACAGAAGCUCAGUAACUAAGUGUUAAACUUAAGUUGAAAUGCCCCUGUUCCCAGCUGGUUCAACUGACUUCGUUCUGGCCUGAAUGCCAGUUCCCUGUCUUUCCUUUUCUCUAAGAACCAGCAUCUUGUUCAGCCAUCAUUGGGAAAGCUUCCUACUGCAGGAGAUGGGAACAAAUACAGAGACCACAGUUAGGCAUUGCACAGAGUGUGAGAGUCUUGGUCCCCCCUCUGCCCUCUGCUUGAGGACCUUUAUUAAUGAAGCAAUACAGCAAACCACUUAAGAAACGCAAAUCCAACUUCUUUAUUUUCAACUUAUUUUUAUUUCAUUAAAACUCACUAGUAGCAAGCCUA
Long non-coding RNA from Mesocricetus auratus (golden hamster), 356 nucleotides. RefSeq lists it as uncharacterized. The transcript is spliced from 3 exons. Lineage: Eukaryota; Metazoa; Chordata; Mammalia; Rodentia; Cricetidae. The record is from RefSeq and is a predicted model, not a curated record.